Molecule: long non-coding RNA, 4788 nt
Filed under: Theobroma cacao (cacao)
Lineage: Eukaryota; Viridiplantae; Streptophyta; Magnoliopsida; Malvales; Malvaceae
Description: long non-coding RNA (TCAC_LNC003826)
Source: RNAcentral
GGUGGUGAGCUUUCUGGUAAAAGUAAAGAGAUAGUACCCGAGGAUCAAGAAUCGAAGUACUCAAAAUUUGACUCCCGAAAUAGUGAGUAACCUUACUACCGUCUUAAUUAUCUAAAGUAAUUUUUAUUCGUUUUUGUGAAUUUUAUGAAAAAUGAGUUUAAAUGGUAAAUCUUUAUGUUUUAUAAGCAAAAUGUGAUUAAAUGAAAUGAUUUUAUAAAAUUGUCUUGAAAUUGAAAGAUGGUUUUGAAAAUGGAGUAAUUGGAGACUAAUUGCUGUGUUAAAAAUCAUGGUUUGAAUUGAAUGGCUUAUGAUAAUAUUGGCAUGAAUGGUUGGAUUUGGUAAAUGCGUUGAAAAAGUAUGAACUGUUGAUUUGCCUUGAAAGGUUGUAAAAUAAAAUAAGUGCCAUGUCAUGCUGUUGAAUUUUAUUGAAUUGGUGGGUUAUAAUUGGUCGUUGCAGUGGACGAGUUCCGUGUACUAGCCUAUUAGAGGGGCACAGUAACCCUAUUAUAUUCAUACCUCAGUAUGAGAGGCACGGUUGGAUAACUCCUGAGGUUAAAACUUUAGAGUUCACUUCACACCAAACCACCACGUGAGAGUGAACUCAGCCAACGCCAAGGAAUGGCUAUGUUUUCAAAAUAAAAACAUGAUUUAUGCGAACAUGACUUUUUAACAGCCUUGGCGGACUUGGUUGGGAUAGCCCUCAGCCAAGGUAUCCCUGAUAACUGAGUAUGAGAAUGAUUUUGGAACAAGCCAAACUUUUCAAGAAAUCAUAAGCCUUGUUGUUUAUUUAGGUGAAAUGAAUCUAUUUUAUCUUAUUAAAAUGAGUUCGAAAUGUUGUGAAUCAUUUUUAUGCUAAUCUAUUUUAUCUGUCUCCAUUUACUCAACUUUAGAUAUUUUAGAUGGUAUAUGUUUACUCACUGGGAUUAUAUAAUCUCACCACCCUCCUUUUCACCCAUUUUAGGCUCAAGAUAGUCGGUAAAUAGCUCAUUUCGUUGAGGGCUACAGUUGGACUUGCAUCCUCAAAAACUGUAGGUUUACCGCUUUUAAUACUUUUGGUCUUUCAUGGGCCCACGUGGUAUUGUAAAUUAAAUUUUAUGCUUUGGUUAUCUAUAUUACAGUAUGUAUGAAUUUAUUUAGCUUUUACGCUACAAAAAUUAUUUAUCGGGAACUCUAUAAAUAUUAUUUUAUAAAAAUAUAGAAUAUUUUAUUGAAUAUUUUUAUUAUAUUCAAAUAGUUAUAGUUUCACUUUAAAUGAAUGUUUUAGACAUCUAAACUUAUUUUUGAUUAUGAAAUAUGUGUUUUCCACUUGCAUGCUACAUUUUUAGCUAGUUUUGAGAUUUUCGAGGAAACAUGACCAAAAUGCCCCUGUGAGAAAAAAAUUAUUUAUCUAUUGUUUUGAUUUGGAAAUAGUUUAUAGUCUCUCAAAUCAUGAUACUUAACAACUGUUGCUCACUGGGGAGGUGCGAAAACUAAUAUUAAAGCCUUGUGAGAUUUCGGUUGGCAUUCCGAGCAAUGAAUGUCUAUCAGAACGUCGCGGUGGUUGUCACAAGCUCGAGAGGAGUACCGGGUUGGGACAAGGCCACUUGUCUUUCUCCUUUUCUUGUGUAAUCCUUUUACUCUUUUGCCACCGGGAAUAGGUCCAAAAUCCUCUGAAAGAGGUCCCUUAAGUAGCCCCCAAAAGUCCUAGCUUCAAAAUCCCUUAAACUUGUUAUUUGUGGAAAUUACGGUGAAGGCUGCGGCUCUCAAUUUCCAACGUCGCAGUGCUCAAAUGUUCUGUCCAACUCUGUUCUUUUGGCACAGUACUUUCACCUUGACAAAGGUUUUUGACCACCUUCCCUUCAAAAUUGGGCAAAGUGGUAAACAUCAAAGUUGUAGCCCUAACUCUUAGCUUUCUAAUGGUUUAAAACUCAUGUCAUUUUGACUGUUGUAGUAGGAGAUAUGCUUGAAAAACCGAAACAUAUGCAAAUAGAGCAACAGCCCACUAUGUACCUUUCUUCACCAAUUGAAAUUAUGUUUUGAUCCUACUCCUAUAACGACUUAAAAUAAUUAUAAGUAACAUAAAACUAACAUCAUUAGCUCAAAUUAAACCUUUAAACAUAAGUUCUAUAUAAUACCCAAUACUUUGAUAUGGUGACUAAUAAAGCUUAUUGGAUGCCAAUUGAGGCAUAAUAAGGUAUUUUUGGUACUAAGGAGACAAGAGAAAUUUUUUUGAAUAAAAUAAUAUUUUAUUAAUAAAAUAAUAAUAAAAUAUUAAUAUUUUAUUCAGUGUCAAAAUUUUUCAUGAAGAAGGAGUGUAUGGUGAAUCUAAGUGGGGGAGAAGAAGAAUGAGAAAAUCAUGGAGAAAAAUGACGUUAAUGGGGCCGCGUGUCUUUGUUAAGUAAAGAUAAAUCGGGUAAAUAAAUAUUUUAAAUAUUAUCGGGAUACCGCGUUGAAAUACAAUUUUGAUAUUUUGGUGGUAUACGUAUAAAGGAAGGAAGAUAGAUGAAAAUCAGAAUUUUAGACAAGUCGAAAAGAUCGAAUUUUAAAAUAUGAAAGUUGGAGGAUUAUGUAGUGAAAUUAAAUGGAAGGUGAUAAAGUCUUGUCAUGUGAUUUUUAUACAUAAAUAAUUGGAGAAAAUAAGUCAAUAGUCAUGAAUUCAUGGACAUGCCAUCCAUGACAAAGAAAAUGAGGAGAAAAGAAAAGAUAAAGAUGAAGGAAAAGUCAAAAGAAAAGAAAUGAAUGAAAGGAAAUGGAAGAGAAAAGAUGAGAAAAUAGUGAAAUGGGGAAGAAAAGUCAAGUAAGGUGGCCGACAAAGUUAGUAAGAAAGAAUGAGAUAGAGAUGAACGAUAGAAAAGAAAAGAAAAGUCAAAGUCGAUUAAGUGAAGAAGGAAAAAUAAAAGAGAGAAGUCGAUUGUCGGAGAAAGCAAAAAGAGCAAAGGAAAGCAAAAAGAAAGCAAAAAGAGCAAAGGAAAGAAAAGAAGAGAAAAGCAGAGCGGUGAGGAAGAAAAAAAAAAAGAAAGAAAAGAAAAGGAGGAGGAGCUGAGUUUGAAAAGGCAGUUUUGCUACCAUUUAGGGAAGAAAUGAGCAACUUUGGUUGCUUAUUUUUGGAGGCUUUGGCUGCCAGUUUUGAGGGUGAGAUGAGCAGCUUUAGCUGCUGAUUUUUUAAGGAUGAAAUGAGCGGCUUUGGCUGCUGAUUUUUGAAACUUUGGCUGCCAAGUUUUGAGGGAGAAAGGAGCAACUUUGGCUGCUUAUUUUUGAGGCUCUGGCUGUCGAUUUUGAGGGUAAGAUGAGCAGCUUUAGCUGUUGAUUUUUGAAGGUUGAAAGGAAUGACUUUGGCUACUGAUUUUUGAAGCUUUGGCUACCAAGUUUUGAAGGAUAAAGGAGCAGCUUGGCUGCUGAUUUUUUAAGAAGAAUAGAGCAGCUUGGCUACUGAUUUUUGAGGUUAUUAUGAGCAGCUUUGGCUGCUGAAAUUUUUGGAAGAAAGGUGCUGCUGAUCGGCGGGAGAGAGGAGAAGAAGAAAGAGAGAAAGAAACGGGAAUGAAAGAACAAAAAAAAAAAAGAGUGGGCAUAGUCCAAUAAGAAAAGAAUGGGCAUGGCCCAAUAGAAAGAAAUGGGAAGAGCCCAAGGAAAGGGCCCAAUAGCAACAAAGAAAGAAAAGUCCAAAAAAGAAGAAAGGUGGAGACUUGGGCUUGGGCCAACCUAGCCCAAAUAGGUAAAAAGAAAAUUUCCUUGCUUUUUAUUGGGCUUGUUGUGAAGUUAGAUUAAUUAGGGCUAGCCCACUUGUUUAGUUAAAUUUUUGGUAUUAGUGGUAUGAAUUAAAUUUAAAUUACUUUAAUACAAUAUUUUAAAAAAAUUAUAUUAGGAUGUGUCAUAGGACUAAAGUAAAUAAGAAAAUAUGAAAUUGAUGAAUAGUGCUCAAGUGAAGUUAAGAAAUUUUAAAUGAUUCAUUGUGAAGAAUUAUUAUUGUCGGUGGAAUUUAUUGGCAUAAUUUAGUUGAAAGUGUUAAGUUGAGUGGUAUAAUAUUUGGAAAAAAUAAGGGGAAAUAAUGUGGAAAAAUAAGAUGGAUUUGGGCGGAAGUUAAUUAAAAGGUUGAAGUAGGUAUGGGACAAUAUAAAUAAGUUGUCGAUGUUAUACUUUAAGGAAUUACAUAAGCAACAGAUAUAAGCAAUUUUACUGAAAAUGCCUUAAGAUGUGAGUUAAUUUAAUAUGGUUUUGUGAUAGGGUGAGAAACAGAGGUGGGAUUGAUGUACUAAACAUAUUGAGUUUGGAUUAUUGCUAGGACGUGUUAAAGUAAAGUUAGAGUAUUGUGGUGGCGUGCCGGAGUAAAUAACAAGCGAUCGGCCAAUGGAAAUAGUUAGAGACACCUUCGAACAAAUAAUGACCUAAUACCUCGUUGUUGCCAGGUGAGUGAAGUUGCAUUAAAAUGUUUUGGAAUAAAUGAUUUUAUGCUUGGUUGAGCCCCUCGAAAUAUUUUGUUGGUUUUUCUUUAAAAGUUGCAUGGGAACAAGCCCUUGAUGAAAUUUUUUGAUAUUAUGAGAUAUGAACAUGAUGAAUUCAUGAGUUUCUACAAUAUGUUGAUGUGUAUAUUAUACAUUAAAUGAUAUUUUUUGUAUGAUAAUUAUGACCCAGCCAUGAGCGGUGUAGGAGUGCACAUGAGCUGUGCUGACCCAGCCAUGUACGGUGUAAGAGUGCACAUGAGCUGUGCUGACCCGGCUAUGUGUGGUGUAUGAGUGCACAUGAGCUGAGACAAAGUUGAGGGGGUGAGGCCGGUGGUUAUAUAUAUGUUUAUAUAUGAUAUAUAUAUAUAUA